AGCGAACGUUUGCGGCGGGCCUAACACAUGCAAGUCGAACGGGCUAGCAAUAGUCAGUGGCGCACGGGUGCGUAACACGUGGGUAAUCAACCCUUCAGCCUGGGAUAACGAUCUGAAAGGAUCGCUAAUACCGGAUGCGAUGCGAGGAACCUCGGUUUUUCGCAGGAAAGCUUCGCAAGGAGCACUGAAGGACGAGCCUGCGGCCCAUCAGCUAGUUGGUGAGGUAAAAGCUCACCAAGGCGAAGACGGGUAGCUGGUCUGAGAGGAUGAUCAGCCACACUGGAACUGAGACACGGUCCAGACUCCUACGGGAGGCAGCAGUGGGGAAUAUUGCGCAAUGGGCGAAAGCCUGACGCAGCCACGCCGCGUGAGCGAUGAAGGCC
Molecule: ribosomal RNA, 383 nt
Filed under: uncultured bacterium
Lineage: Bacteria
Description: bacterial SSU rRNA
Rfam family: Bacterial small subunit ribosomal RNA
Source: RNAcentral